Molecule: ribosomal RNA, 1606 nt
Filed under: Salmonella enterica
Lineage: Bacteria; Pseudomonadati; Pseudomonadota; Gammaproteobacteria; Enterobacterales; Enterobacteriaceae
Description: partial 23S ribosomal RNA
Rfam family: Bacterial large subunit ribosomal RNA
Source: RNAcentral
GCUGAUGCGUUGUUGGGUAGGGGAGCGUUCUGUAAGCCUGCGAAGGUGGCCUGUGAGGGUUGCUGGAGGUAUCAGAAGUGCGAAUGCUGACAUAAGUAACGAUAAAGCGGGUGAAAAGCCCGCUCGCCGGAAGACCAAGGGUUCCUGUCCAACGUUAAUCGGGGCAGGGUGAGUCGACCCCUAAGGCGAGGCCGAAAGGCGUAGUCGAUGGGAAACGGGUUAAUAUUCCCGUACUUGGUGUUACUGCGAAGGGGGGACGGAGAAGGCUAUGUUGGCCGGGCGACGGUUGUCCCGGUUUAAGCGUGUAGGCUGGUUUUCCAGGCAAAUCCGGAAAAUCAAGGCUGAGGCGUGACGACGAGGCACUACGGUGCUGAAGCAACAAAUGCCCUGCUUCCAGGAAAAGCCUCUAAGCAUCAGGUAACAUCAAAUCGUACCCCAAACCGACACAGGUGGUCAGGUAGAGAAUACCAAGGCGCUUGAGAGAACUCGGGUGAAGGAACUAGGCAAAAUGGUGCCGUAACUUCGGGAGAAGGCACGCUGACAUGUAGGUGAAGUGAUUUACUCAUGGAGCUGAAGUCAGUCGAAGAUACCAGCUGGCUGCAACUGUUUAUUAAAAACACAGCACUGUGCAAACACGAAAGUGGACGUAUACGGUGUGACGCCUGCCCGGUGCCGGAAGGUUAAUUGAUGGGGUCAGCGCAAGCGAAGCUCCUGAUCGAAGCCCCGGUAAACGGCGGCCGUAACUAUAACGGUCCUAAGGUAGCGAAAUUCCUUGUCGGGUAAGUUCCGACCUGCACGAAUGGCGUAAUGAUGGCCAGGCUGUCUCCACCCGAGACUCAGUGAAAUUGAACUCGCUGUGAAGAUGCAGUGUACCCGCGGCAAGACGGAAAGACCCCGUGAACCUUUACUAUAGCUUGACACUGAACAUUGAGCCUUGAUGUGUAGGAUAGGUGGGAGGCUUUGAAGCGUGGACGCCAGUCUGCGUGGAGCCGACCUUGAAAUACCACCCUUUAAUGUUUGAUGUUCUAACGUGGACCCGUUACCCGGGUUGCGGACAGUGUCUGGUGGGUAGUUUGACUGGGGCGGUCUCCUCCUAAAGAGUAACGGAGGAGCACGAAGGUUGGCUAAUCCUGGUCGGACAUCAGGAGGUUAGUGCAAUGGCAUAAGCCAGCUUGACUGCGAGCGUGACGGCGCGAGCAGGUGCGAAAGCAGGUCAUAGUGAUCCGGUGGUUCUGAAUGGAAGGGCCAUCGCUCAACGGAUAAAAGGUACUCCGGGGAUAACAGGCUGAUACCGCCCAAGAGUUCAUAUCGACGGCGGUGUUUGGCACCUCGAUGUCGGCUCAUCACAUCCUGGGGCUGAAGUAGGUCCCAAGGGUAUGGCUGUUCGCCAUUUAAAGUGGUACGCGAGCUGGGUUUAGAACGUCGUGAGACAGUUCGGUCCCUAUCUGCCGUGGGCGCUGGAGAACUGAGGGGGGCUGCUCCUAGUACGAGAGGACCGGAGUGGACGCAUCACUGGUGUUCGGGUUGUCAUGCCAAUGGCACUGCCCGGUAGCUAAAUGCGGAAGAGAUAAGUGCUGAAAGCAUCUAAGCACGAAACUUGCCCCGA